Limulus polyphemus (Atlantic horseshoe crab) is the source of this 491-nucleotide long non-coding RNA. RefSeq lists it as uncharacterized. NCBI's taxonomy places the organism in Eukaryota, Metazoa, Arthropoda, Merostomata, Xiphosura, Limulidae. The record is from RefSeq and is a predicted model, not a curated record. The transcript has 3 exons.
UAGAAAUAUUUUAAUGGUGAUAUAUAUAAUUUUGCGGGAAGUCCCUUUAAUAUCACGUGAUAAUAUAAUAAAGUGUGAUUAACCAAUUAUUUUGCUGGUUUUGGUUUCUGUGAUAAAAGUGAAGUUAUCAUAUUGUCGAAAAUAAAUGUAAAUCGUAAGAUUGUAAAUAAGAGGUAAGUGAAUCGAGUGUAAUACUAGUAAUACGAUUGUAAGGCUGUUGCAAACUGUGUACUUGAACCGUCAAGUUGUUAUGGCUGAAAUCGAGAAACCUCCUCCUUACCCUGUGACCUCAACCAAUCCCGAGAGAUCAGAUUAUACUUGCCAACCACCACAAGGACAUACUUCAAUCCCGCAAGGAUACCACAACGUUCCUACAUCUGGAUUACCCAAGUAUGGAAGUACUGUUUGUGUUCAUUCUAUAAGUCAGCCUCAGAUUCUGGUAAUUGGAGGAUGUCCAGCUUGCAGGGUAAGAAUGUAUCUAUCUUUUCUGG